This 438-nucleotide ribosomal RNA is filed under the name uncultured Rubrobacterales bacterium. RNAcentral describes it as "bacterial SSU rRNA". It matches the Rfam family "Bacterial small subunit ribosomal RNA", at positions 258 to 688 of the family's 1533-position model. Lineage: Bacteria; Bacillati; Actinomycetota; Rubrobacteria; Rubrobacterales. The record is from RNAcentral.
UAACGGCUCACCUAGACUUCGAUGGGGUAGCUGGUCUUAGGGACGAUCAUCCACACUGGGAGUGAGACACGGCCCAGACUCCUACGAGAGGCAGCAGCGGGGAGUCUUGCGCAAUGCGCGAAAGCGUGACGCAGCAACGCCGCGUGGGGGAAGAAGGCUUUCGGGUUGUAAACCCCUUUCAGUUGGGACGAAGCCUCGCCGGUGAAUAGCCGGCUGGAGUGACGGUACCUUCACAAGAAGCACCGCCUAACUACGUGCCAGCAGCCGCGGUAAUACGUAGGGUGCAAGCGUUGUCCGGAAUUAUUGGGCGUAAAGAGCGUGUAGGCGGCCCGAUUAGUCCGCUGUGAAAGUCCUGGGCUCAACCCUGGAAUGCCGGUGGAUACUGUCGGGCUAGAGUCCGGAAGGGGCGAGUGGAAUUCCUGGUGUAGCGGUGAAAUG